This 27-nucleotide non-coding RNA is filed under the name Rattus norvegicus (Norway rat). The record is from RNAcentral. Lineage: Eukaryota; Metazoa; Chordata; Mammalia; Rodentia; Muridae.
UCUGCGAAAAUCCCCAGUUGCCAAGGA